UGGGGAAUUUUGGGCAAUGGGCGAAAGCCUGACCCAGCAACGCCGCGUGAAGGAUGAAGUCUCUCGGGAUGUAAACUUCGUAAGAAUAGGAAGAAUAAAUGACGGUACUAUUUGUAAGGUCCGGCUAACUACGUGCCAGCAGCCGCGGUAAUACGUAGGGACCAAGCGUUGUUCGGAAUCACUGGGCGUAAAGCGCACGUAGGCGGAUAGUUAAGUCAGGGGUGAAAUCCUGGGGCUCAACCCCAGAACUGCCUUUGAUACUGGCUGUCUCGAGGUCGAGAGAGGUUGGUGGAAUUCCUAGUGUAGAGGUGAAAUUCGUAGAUAUUAGGAAGAACACCAGUGGCGAAGGCGGCCAACUGGCUCGAUACUGACGCUGAGGUGCGAAAGCGUGGGGAGCAAACAGGAUUAGAUACCCCAGUAGUCCCUGAGCGGGCUGGCAAGGCGCAU
Molecule: ribosomal RNA, 447 nt
Filed under: uncultured bacterium
Lineage: Bacteria
Description: bacterial SSU rRNA
Rfam family: Bacterial small subunit ribosomal RNA
Source: RNAcentral